ACUCGGGGAGAACGCACCGCUUUUUCGCCGGGGAAUGAGGCUGAGCCGCCGGUAACGGCGGCGAAGACGGCGGCGCCGGAGCAAAGUUGAGCUUGGCCUUUUCUCCUCGGAUCCGUUUGGCUGCUUCAUCGUAGGCUCUGGCGGCUUCCUCGGCGGUGUUGAAAGUGCCGAGCCAAACACGAACUCCUUUACGUGGGUCCCGGAUCUCCGCCGCCCAUUUUCCCCACGGCCGUUGCCGGAUUCCUCUGUACAAAUUCUUCCGAGCUUUUGGAGUCUUCUCCACCGCCACCGCCGCCGUAGCUCGAUCUCUUUUCUUAGGCUUCUCGCUUUUCACAGGGGAAUAAUUGAGGCCGAGGAGGUCGGAGAAAGGGUCGAUGUGGGACCAGAGAGAUUCAUUGCUAAGUUUCCGAGUUCGCUUUCUUUCAAUGAAAUCAGAGAUGA
Molecule: unclassified non-coding RNA, 441 nt
Filed under: Hevea brasiliensis (rubber tree)
Lineage: Eukaryota; Viridiplantae; Streptophyta; Magnoliopsida; Malpighiales; Euphorbiaceae
Source: RNAcentral